Molecule: long non-coding RNA, 568 nt
Organism: Lontra canadensis (Northern American river otter)
Lineage: Eukaryota; Metazoa; Chordata; Mammalia; Carnivora; Mustelidae
Exons: 4
Source: RefSeq, a predicted model, not a curated record
AGCGGGGGAGGGGCAGAGGGAGAGGAUCGCAAGCAGAUUCCCUGCGGUGUGGGGAGCCCUACAUGGAGCUGGUUCCCAGCAGCCCAAGAUCAUGACGGGAACCAAAACCAAGAGAGGGACGUUCCACCGAGUGAGCCAUCCAGAUGCCCUAACAAAACGAUGAGAUUCUAGGGCGCUGAAAACCCCAGUCUGCUUCUCUCAAGUUCCUCCACCAGGUGCCCCCUUCUCCAGAGGAGGAAAAAUUUGACACAUUCUCCCUCAGAGAGCUGUGAGGAGGAAAGCCAUGUACGCAAAAUAAUGAAUAUAAUGAUGUGCUGGACUGACAGCCAAGCCUCCCAGGAAUAGAUUUUAUUUUUUAAGAGUGGUUUUGAACCCACUUAAAACUCUCAUUACCUCACUCGAGGGUUGGCUGAUGAAUAGAUGGUUUCGCUAUAGUGAUUUGAAAAUUCUAUACAUGACUCAGAGCUCAUCACAGUCUCUCCCCCUCCUCAACAGCUGGGAUGACAGGAGAACUGCAGACAGAAGAAGGAAAGAAGGACGUGUUCCCAUUACCAGCACUCUGUGUAAG